AGAGACAGCAGCAGCCACGGUAAUACGAAGGGGGCUAGCGUUGUUCGGAUUUACUGGGCGUAAAGCGCACGUAGGCGGAUCGAUCAGUCAGGGGUGAAAUCCCAGAGCUCAACUCUGGAACUGCCUUUGAUACUGGGUAUCUUGAGUAUGGAAGAGGUGAGUGGAAUUCCGAGUGUAGAGGUGAAAUUCGUAGAUAUUCGGAGGAACACCAGUGGCGAAGGCGGCUCACUGGUCCAUACUGACGCUGAGGUGCGAAAGCGUGGGGAGCAAACAGGAUUAGAUACCCCUGUAGUCCCUGUCUCUUAUACA
RNAcentral lists this ribosomal RNA (309 nucleotides) under uncultured bacterium. Its description in RNAcentral is "partial 16S ribosomal RNA". It matches the Rfam family "Bacterial small subunit ribosomal RNA", at positions 504 to 808 of the family's 1533-position model. The record is from RNAcentral.